This is a non-coding RNA of Anoxybacillus sp. BCO1, 122 nucleotides long. The record is from Rfam. NCBI's taxonomy places the organism in Bacteria, Bacillati, Bacillota, Bacilli, Caryophanales, Anoxybacillaceae.
UGUGUAUGAUAUCUUAUCGUUAUCAAUGAAGGCCAUUGAUCGUACUGUGAGUGGAACGAUGACGAUCUGCUCACCUUAGGUGCUUGUCGUCGAUGGUGCGGUGUGAGGAUGGGUAAUGCCAA